UGUUGUUAAAACAUUGUUCCGAAAUUGGAACAAUAUAGAGAAGAUUAGCGUUGCUCUGUGCAAGAAUGAGAUGCAAAAUCGUGAAGCGUUGCACAUUAUU
RNAcentral lists this small nuclear RNA (100 nucleotides) under Glossina brevipalpis. Lineage: Eukaryota; Metazoa; Arthropoda; Insecta; Diptera; Glossinidae. The record is from RNAcentral.